RNAcentral lists this ribosomal RNA (478 nucleotides) under Sarocladium sp. RNAcentral's name for it is "eukaryotic LSU rRNA". The stretch from base 104 to 257 matches the Rfam family "5.8S ribosomal RNA". The record is from RNAcentral. Lineage: Eukaryota; Fungi; Ascomycota; Sordariomycetes; Hypocreales; Sarocladiaceae.
CGCGCGGCCGGCCUCCGGGCCACCGGGCGUCCGCCGGGGACAACCAAACCCGAAUUUUUCGUGUAUAUCUGAGGGGCGAAAGCCCGAAAACAAAAUGAAUCAAAACUUUCAACAACGGAUCUCUUGGCUCUGGCAUCGAUGAAGAACGCAGCGAAAUGCGAUAAGUAAUGUGAAUUGCAGAAUUCAGUGAAUCAUCGAAUCUUUGAACGCACAUUGCGCCCGCCGGCACUCCGGCGGGCAUGCCUGUCCGAGCGUCAUUUCAACCCUCAGGGCCACCCUUUCGGGGGUUCGGCGCCUGGUGCUGGGGAUCAGCGGCCCUCCGGGGCCCCUGUCCCCCAAAUUCAGUGGCGGUCGCGCCGCAGCCUCCCCUGCGUAGUAGCACACCUCGCACCGGAGAGCGGCUCGGCCACGCCGUGAAACCCCCAACUUUCACAAGGUUGACCUCGGAUCAGGUAGGAAUACCCGCUGAACUUAAGCA